GGGACGGAGAAGGUUAGCUCAGCCGGGUGUUGGAUGUCCCGGUUCAAGCCUGUAGUCGUGCCUGGUAGGCAAAUCCGCCGGGCUUAGAUGAGGGGUGAUAACGAGGAGGCUUGCCUCCGAAGUGAGUGAUACCCUGCUUCCAGGAAAAGCCACUAAGCUUCAGCUAUUGACGACCGUACCGCAAACCGACACUGGUGCGCGAGAUGAGUAUUCUAAGGCGCUUGAGAGAACUCUGGAGAAGGAACUCGGCAAAUUGACACCGUAACUUCGGAAGAAGGUGUGCCUUUAGUAGGUGUAGUUGUACAAACGAAGCCCAAUGAGGCCGCAGAGAAUCGGUGGCUGCAACUGUUUAUUAAAAACACAGCCCUCU
RNAcentral lists this ribosomal RNA (370 nucleotides) under Escherichia coli. Its description in RNAcentral is "bacterial LSU rRNA". It matches the Rfam family "Bacterial large subunit ribosomal RNA", at positions 1469 to 1824 of the family's 2925-position model. Lineage: Bacteria; Pseudomonadati; Pseudomonadota; Gammaproteobacteria; Enterobacterales; Enterobacteriaceae. The record is from RNAcentral.